This 429-nucleotide ribosomal RNA is filed under the name Fusobacteriota bacterium. Its description in RNAcentral is "Fusobacteria bacterium partial 16S ribosomal RNA". It matches the Rfam family "Bacterial small subunit ribosomal RNA", at positions 355 to 776 of the family's 1533-position model. Lineage: Bacteria; Fusobacteriati; Fusobacteriota. The record is from RNAcentral.
UGGGGAAUCUUCCGCAAUGGACGAAAGUCUGACGGAGCAACGCCGCGUGAGUGAAGACGGCCUUCGGGUUGUAAAGCUCUGUGAUCCGGGACGAAAGAGCCUGAGGUAAAUAGCCUAAGGAAGUGACGGUACCGGAAAAGCAAGCCACGGCUAACUACGUGCCAGCAGCCGCGGUAAUACGUAGGUGGCAAGCGUUGUCCGGAAUUAUUGGGCGUAAAGCGCGCGCAGGCGGCUUCCUAAGUCCAUCUUAAAAGUGCGGGGCUUAACCCCGUGAUCGGAUGGAAACUGGGAAGCUGGAGUAUCGGAGAGGAAAGUGGAAUUCCUAGUGUAGCGGUGAAAUGCGUAGAGAUUAGGAAGAACACCGGUGGCGAAGGCGACUUUCUGGACGAAAACUGACGCAGAGGCGCGAAAGCGUGGGGAGCAAACAGG